UGGAUAGCUCAGUUGGUUAAAGUGUGGUGCUGAUAACACCAAGGUUGCAGGUUCAGUCCCCGUAUUGGACAA
RNAcentral lists this transfer RNA (72 nucleotides) under Podarcis lilfordi (Lilford's wall lizard). RNAcentral describes it as "tRNA.Ile". The record is from RNAcentral. Lineage: Eukaryota; Metazoa; Chordata; Lepidosauria; Squamata; Lacertidae.